Molecule: ribosomal RNA, 253 nt
Filed under: uncultured bacterium
Lineage: Bacteria
Description: partial 16S ribosomal RNA
Rfam family: Bacterial small subunit ribosomal RNA
Source: RNAcentral
UACGUAGGGUGCAAGCGUUGUCCGGAAUUAUUGGGCGUAAAGGGCUCGUAGGCGGUUUGUCGCGUCGGGAGUGAAAACCUCGGGCUUAACUCGGGGCUUGCUUUCGAUACGGGCAGACUAGAGGUAUGCAGGGGAGAACGGAAUUCCUGGUGUAGCGGUGAAAUGCGCAGAUAUCAGGAGGAACACCGGUGGCGAAGGCGGUUCUCUGGGCAUGAUCUGACGCUGAGGAGCGAAAGUGUGGGGAGCGAACAGG